RNAcentral lists this small RNA (27 nucleotides) under Bombyx mori (domestic silkworm). Its description in RNAcentral is "piRNA piR-bmo-2039953". The record is from RNAcentral. Lineage: Eukaryota; Metazoa; Arthropoda; Insecta; Lepidoptera; Bombycidae.
AAACGAACGUGGUCUUUUUCUGAUUGC